UACGUAGGCAGCGAGCGUUGUUCGGAAUUACUGGGCGUAAAGCGUGCGCAGGCGGUGAUGUAAGACAGUUGUGAAAUCCCCGGGCUCAACCUGGGAACUGCAUCUGUGACUGCAUCGCUGGAGUGCGGCAGAGGGGGAUGGAAUUCCGCGUGUAGCAGUGAAAUGCGUAGAUAUGCGGAGGAACACCGAUGGCGAAGGCAAUCCCCUGGCCUGUACUGACGCUCAUGCACGAAAGCGUAGGGGAGCGA
RNAcentral lists this ribosomal RNA (248 nucleotides) under uncultured bacterium. RNAcentral's name for it is "partial 16S ribosomal RNA". It matches the Rfam family "Bacterial small subunit ribosomal RNA", at positions 524 to 771 of the family's 1533-position model. The record is from RNAcentral.